RNAcentral lists this ribosomal RNA (474 nucleotides) under uncultured bacterium. RNAcentral's name for it is "bacterial SSU rRNA". It matches the Rfam family "Bacterial small subunit ribosomal RNA", at positions 95 to 556 of the family's 1533-position model. The record is from RNAcentral.
GUGGCGAACGGGUGAGUAACACGUGGGUAACCUGCCCAUCAGAGGGGGAUAACAUUCGGAAACGGAUGCUAAAACCGCAUAGGUCUUCGAGCCGCAUGGCUUGAAGAGGAAAAGAGGCGCAAGCUUCUGCUGAUGGAUGGACUCGCGGUGCAUUAGCUAGUUGGUGAGGUAACGGCUCACCAAGGCCGUGAUGCAUAGCCGACCUGAGAGGGUGAUCGGCCACAUUGGGACUGAGACACGGCCCAAACUCCUACGGGAGGCAGCAGUAGGGAAUCUUCCGCAAUGGACGCAAGUCUGACGGAGCAACGCCGCGUGAGUGAAGAAGGUUUUCGGAUCGUAAAACUCUGUUGUUAGAGAAGAACAAGUGCUAGAGUAACUGUUAGCGCCUUGACGGUAUCUAACCAGAAAGCCACGGCUAACUACGUGCCAGCAGCCGCGGUAAUACGUAGGUGCAAGCGUUGUCCGAAUUUAUUG